AUUUUGUUAUUACUUGAAAAACUUCUUACUAUCCUUAAUUCUGUUGGUCAUUGAUUUUCUCUUCUGUUCUUUUAUUUCCUGUAUCAAUUUUCUAUUAUUCUUAUCUUUUAAAAUUGAUAUUCAUUGUUAAUUGUUCCUCUUUCCAUUUGAUAUACAUAUUUAUUUUUUAUAGUUCUUUCACUUCCUUUUUCAUGCAAAUUGUUUUUCUAACUAGGGUAGUGUUCUCUCUCUAUUAUUGGACUUCAGACUCGAGCAAACCUGAGUAGAAUUUCAUGGGCCAAAGAAAAGACUUGUCUCUGGUUCAAGGGAUGCUAGAAACUCAAAAAAGAAUAUAAAGUCAAUGGGAAUUUUGCUACUGACUUAUACAGGAGAAGAAUCAGAUUCUACAUGAGUUUAAGAUAUCAGGAGCAAAUCCACCCUCUGCCUCUACAGCCACACAUUACAUAAAAUACAGCAGGACUGGUCUACAAUAUUCAGCAUUAUCAAGACGUGCAAUUCGUCAGAUGUUACCCUUCACCAGCACAUACUUAUGUGAAACUGGGUUCUCGAAAUAUGCAGCAACAAAAAUGAAAUACAGAGAUCGACUGAAUGCCACGCCGUAUAUAAGAAUCCAACUUUCCAGUAUUAAACCAAAUUUUAAAAGACUUUGCGAAGAGAAGAAAAGCCAUCGUUUGCAUUGAAAAC
Molecule: non-coding RNA, 684 nt
Organism: Pelodiscus sinensis (Chinese soft-shelled turtle)
Lineage: Eukaryota; Metazoa; Chordata; Testudines; Trionychidae
Source: RefSeq, a predicted model, not a curated record